CGGCCUGAGAGGGUGAACGGACACACUGGAACUGAGACACGGUCCAGACUCCUACGGGAGGCAGCAGUAGGGAAUAUUGCUCAAUGGGGGAAACCCUGAAGCAGCAACGCCGCGUGGAGGAUGAAGGUUUUAGGAUUGUAAACUCCUUUUGUGAGAGAAGAUUAUGACGGUAUCUCACGAAUAAGCACCGGCUAACUCCGUGCCAGCAGCCGCGGUAAUACGGAGGGUGCAAGCGUUACUCGGAAUCACUGGGCGUAAAGAGUGCGCAGGCGGGUAGUCAAGUCAGAUGUGAAAUCCUAUAGCUUAACUAUAGAACUGCAUUUGAAACUGAUUAUCUAGAGUGUGGGAGAGGUAGGUGGAAUUCUUGGUGUAGGGGUAAAAUCCGUAGAGAUCAAGAGGAAUACUCAUUGCGAAGGCGACCUACUGGAACAUUACUGACGCUCAUGCACGAAAGCGUGGGGAGCAAACAGGAUUAGAUACCCUGGUAGUCCACGCCCUAAACGAUGAAUGCUAGUUGUUGCCCUGCUUGACAGGGCAGUAAUGCAGCUAACGCAUUAAGCAUUCCGCCUGGGGAGUACGGUCGCAAGAUUAAAACUCAAAGGAAUAGACGGGGACCCGCACAAGCGGUGGAGCAUGUGGUUUAAUUCGAAGAUACGCGAAGAACCUUACCUAGGCUUGACAUUGAUAGAAUCCUGUAGAGAUAUGGGAGUGCCCUUUUAGGGAGCUUGAAAACAGGUGCUGCACGGCUGUCGUCAGCUCGUGUCGUGAGAUGUUGGGUUAAGUCCCGCAACGAGCGCAACCCUCGUCCUUAGUUGCUAGCAGUUCGGCUGAGCACUCUAAGGAGACUGCCUUCGUAAGGAGGAGGAAGGUGAGGACGACGUCAAGUCAUCAUGGCCCUUACGCCUAGGGCUACACACGUGCUACAAUGGGGCGCACAAAGAGGAGCAAUACCGCGAGGUGGAGCAAAUCUCUAAAACGUCUCUCAGUUCGGAUUGUAGUCUGCAACUCGACUACAUGAAGCUGGAAUCGCUAGUAAUCGUGAAUCAGCCAUGUCACGGUGAAUACGUUCCCGGGUCUUGUACUCACCGCCCGUCACACCAUGGGAGUUGUAUUCGCCUUAAGUCGGAAUGCCAAACUGGCUACCGCCCACGGCGGAUG
Molecule: ribosomal RNA, 1158 nt
Filed under: uncultured Helicobacter sp.
Lineage: Bacteria; Pseudomonadati; Campylobacterota; Epsilonproteobacteria; Campylobacterales; Helicobacteraceae
Description: bacterial SSU rRNA
Rfam family: Bacterial small subunit ribosomal RNA
Source: RNAcentral